This 556-nucleotide ribosomal RNA is filed under the name uncultured bacterium. RNAcentral's name for it is "bacterial SSU rRNA". It matches the Rfam family "Bacterial small subunit ribosomal RNA", at positions 342 to 912 of the family's 1533-position model. The record is from RNAcentral.
CGGGAGGCAGCAGUGGGGAAUUUUCCGCAAUGGGCGAAAGCCUGACGGAGCAAUACCGCGUGAGGGAAGACGGCCUAUGGGUUGUAAACCUCUUUUUUCAGGGAGGAAUUUUGACGUGUACCUGAAGAAUAAGCAUCGGCUAACUCCGUGCCAGCAGCCGCGGUAAGACGGAGGAUGCAAGUGUUAUCCGGAAUCACUGGGCGUAAAGCGUCUGUAGGUGGUUUAAUAAGUCAACUGUUAAAUCUUGAGGCUCAACUUCAAAAUCGCAGUCGAAACUAUUAGACUAGAGUAUAGUAGAGGUAAAGGGAAUUUCCAGUGGAGCGGUGAAAUGCGUAGAUAUUGGAAAGAACACCGAUGGCGAAAGCACUUUACUGGGCUAUUACUAACACUCAGAGACGAAAGCUAGGGUAGCAAAUGGGAUUAGAUACCCCAGUAGUCCUAGCCGUAAACAAUGGAUACUAGAUGUUGAACAGAUCGACCUGUGCAGUAUCAAAGCUAACGCGUUAAGUAUCCCGCCUGGGAAGUAUGCUCGCAAGAGUGAAACUCAAAGGAAUUG